RNAcentral lists this ribosomal RNA (465 nucleotides) under uncultured bacterium. RNAcentral describes it as "partial 16S ribosomal RNA". It matches the Rfam family "Bacterial small subunit ribosomal RNA", at positions 339 to 795 of the family's 1533-position model. The record is from RNAcentral.
CUACGGGAUGCUGCAGUGGGGAAUAUUGGACAAUGGGGGAAACCCUGAUCCAGCAAUGCCGCGUGUGUGAAGAAGGCCUGCGGGUUGUAAAGCACUUUCGGUUGGGAGGACUGCUUCUAGCACUAAUAUUGUUGGAAGUUGACGUUACCUUCAGAAGAAGCACCGGCUAACUCCGUGCCAGCAGCCGCGGUAAUAGGGAGGGUGCAAGCGUUAAUCGGAAUUACUGGGCGUAAAGCGCGCGUAGGCGGCUAGAUCAGUCGGGUGUGAAAGCCCCGGGCUUAACCUGGGAACUGCAUCCGAUACUGUCUAGCUAGAGUACAGGAGAGGAGAGUGGAAUUCCACAUGUAGCGGUGAAAUGCGUAGAUAUGUGGAGGAACACCAAUGGCGAAGGCAGCUCUCUGGCCUGAUACUGACGCUGAGGUGCGAAAGCGUGGGGAGCAAACAGGAUUAGAUACCCGCGUAGUC